GCCGGGCAUAGUGGCACAUGCCUGUAAUCCCAGCUACCUGGGAGGCUGAGGCAGGAGAAUCGCUGGAACCCAGGAGGCAGAGGGUGCAGUGAGCCGAGAUCAUGCCACUGCACUCCAGCCUGGGUGACAGAGCAAGACCCUGUCUCAA
Molecule: non-coding RNA, 148 nt
Filed under: Pan troglodytes (chimpanzee)
Lineage: Eukaryota; Metazoa; Chordata; Mammalia; Primates; Hominidae
Source: Rfam by way of RNAcentral